GUAGUACCGCUACUAUGCACCGAUGUCGCCACAGUUUUAAAGUUCAAAACUUUUCGCUUUGGUUCGCUUCCGCUUCCGUUUCCUUCCAUUGCUCAUUCUUCUAUUUUGUGCCGAUUAAGCCACACGUGUGUUAACGAGAUUCCGAAGAAAUGGAAAAAAGGAAAAUAAGAGAAUUGUCCUCGGAUUCAGAGGACAACAAGGAUUUACGAAAAAGGAUUAGACCAUUAGAAACGGCGUUGAGACGCAAGGAAGAGAGUAGCCGACCGAGAUACGGUAAGCGAAGAGGUUAACUGGUCGAAAAGCCAUACAUCGACAAUGGCAGUAAGGCGCAUGGGCGAGGUUCAGGCGUCUUGGUUGCAACCAAGUCGUCUUGAGAGUGCAAAUUUGAGAAACGUCAAAUGCGCACAUAACCUCUCCACGUUAUAUCCUACGAUUAUUUAACCAUCAAGCCUGUCUCAGGGCUGUAGUGACGUCAGAAAGGUAUGCGCAUAGCCGAGAUUCAGGUGUCUUGGUCCAACCAAUUCACCUUGAAAAUGCAAAUUGAAGGGCUUUAAUUCUGCAUAAUCUCGCCACGUUAUGUCCUACGAUAGUUUGACCAUCAAGUCGGUCCCGAGGCUGUAGUGACAUCAAAAAGGUAAGCGCAUAUGCGAGAUUCAGGUGUCUUGGUCCAACCAAUUCACCUUGAAAAUGCAAAUUAAAAGACUUCAAUUGUGUACGUAUAACUCGCAUAUGCAAGGCCAGGUGUCUUGGUCCAACCAAUUCACCUUGGAAAUGUAAUUGAAAAAUUUCAAUUGCAUACAUAACCUUACACAUAACAUUCUGUGACCCGGAUAUAAUCCGUAGUAUAUCGGUUCAACCGAUAUAUUAAAGAAAAGCUAUAUUCCGAGUAUAAACCACUUAAGACUGUCAUUUUCUAAGACAACCUGUUUUUGUUUCUUUAUUGUAACAGGAGGUAUCAAGGGACGUUGUGCAAGAUAACAUCUCGGAAGGAUAAAAGCGGUCACGACUAUUUUUACAGGCGACAUUAUAAUAACGAUAGACAAAGUUAUAACCGGGAUUAUUAUCCGGAUGAUCACCUGUAUGACGAUGACUCGUUAAAUGACUACGACGGUGAAAGUCGGAUACGAAGAGUCAUUCGUUUCUAUUUCAAAUUCCACAGGACGGAACCUGAGUUCGCCUGAGUCGGAGGAACAAAGAGUUCUUCGAAAAGGAUUUAAAGAGUGGCGUAAAAGCCAAUCAAAAAUCCAAAAAACUCGCGGGGGCCAUUUUGCUGAAAUCGACAGAAGUCUUGCGGCUAAUCGAAGGCGAGCAGACACAAGUAGACGUACAAUCAGCGACAAAACUCAUCCUCUUAAGGUCGCAGUACCUAUCAAAAGCCGGGACAAGCGCCUGCGAAGAAGAAUUAGAAAUAAGUAAGGUGGACUGGCAUAGUUGAAAUGUCAAUAAUCGUGGUUGAUUUCAGAUUCAACCAUCUUGAACUAGAUUCAAGAUACUGUUCUCAUCAAAGGAAGCCACAUCCUCCUUAGGAAAGGAUUACUUUGGUUGUCGGGACACUGGCAUGCAAAAAAGCUUUGAACUGGGAGAUGUACGAAUAGAUGCGACAAACAUCAUGCCUUCUUCGCUGACGGAGUCCUCGAUUAGGCAUUAUAUAUCUGUAACAGCCUCAUUACAGGGUCCAGAAGUGGAAAAGAUGUAAGAUCGAAGAGGCCUUCUAAGGUAGUUGAGAAGUUGCGACCUAGCAUACCAAAAUAUGAUGCUACAAAGGACCUAAGGUGGUAUUUGAUCAUGCAUAAUCUAUCUGCCGCAACAACUUUAAACAUCUACAUGUGAUCUCGAGGAAGAGGCGCGCAAUACAAUUAAAUGAUUAAACGAACUUACCUAUUUCCCAUAUGUUACGGCAGCACUUUAAAUAAAUGAGCAAUGGAAGGAAACGGAAGCGGAAGCGAACCAAAGCGAAAAGUUUUGAACUUUAAAACUGUGGCGACAUCGGUGCAUAGUAGCGGUACUACAUGUGAUCUCUUCGGAAGAGGCGCUUCAUACAAUUAUGAUAGAACUUCAC
RNA transcript from Temnothorax curvispinosus, 2059 nucleotides. RefSeq lists it as uncharacterized. Lineage: Eukaryota; Metazoa; Arthropoda; Insecta; Hymenoptera; Formicidae. The record is from RefSeq and is a predicted model, not a curated record. The transcript has 5 exons.